This 376-nucleotide unclassified non-coding RNA is filed under the name uncultured bacterium. Its description in RNAcentral is "contains 16S-23S intergenic spacer region". The record is from RNAcentral.
UCCGAGUUGACCCCGGCAGUCUCCUACGAGUCCCCGGCAUUACCCGCUGGCAACAUAGGACAAGGGUUGCGCUCGUUGCGGGACUUAACCCAACAUCUCACGACACGAGCUGACGACAACCAUGCACCACCUGUGCACGGCCCUUACGGACCCCCCAUCUCUGGAAGAUUUCCGCGCAUGUCAAGCCUAGGUAAGGUUCUUCGCGUUGCAUCGAAUUAAAGAACAUGCUCCGCCGCUUGUGCGGGUCCCCGUCAAUUCCUUUGAGUUUUAGUCUUGCGACCGUACUCCCCAGGCGGAGUGCUUAACGCGUUAACUGCGACAGCGAAGGGGUCAAUACCUCCACCGUCUAGCACUCAUCGUUUACAGCGUGGACUAC